UUGAACGCUGGCGGCAUGCUUUACACAUGCAAGUCGAACGGCAGCGGGGGCUUCGGCCUGCCGGCGAGUGGCGAACGGGUGAGUAAUGCAUCGGAACGUACCCAGUCGUGGGGGAUAACUACGCGAAAGCGUGGCUAAUACCGCAUACGCCCUGAGGGGGAAAGCGGGGGACCUUCGGGCCUCGCGCGAUUGGAGCGGCUGAUGUCGGAUUAGCUGGUUGGUGGGGUAAAGGCCUACCAAGGCGACGAUCCGUAGCUGGGCUGAGAGGAUGAUCAGCCACACUGGGACUGAGACACGGCCCAGACUCCUACGGGAGGCAGCAGUGGGGAAUUUUGGACAAUGGGCGCAAGCCUGAUCCAGCCAUGCCGCGUGAGUGAAGAAGGCCUUCGGGUUGUAAAGCUCUUAUCAUGAGGAAGAAAUAUGACGGUACUCGUGGAAUAAGUCUUGGCUAACUACGU
This 458-nucleotide ribosomal RNA is filed under the name uncultured bacterium. RNAcentral describes it as "bacterial SSU rRNA". It matches the Rfam family "Bacterial small subunit ribosomal RNA", at positions 29 to 506 of the family's 1533-position model. The record is from RNAcentral.